RNAcentral lists this transfer RNA (70 nucleotides) under Cryptolestes turcicus. RNAcentral describes it as "tRNA-Gln". The record is from RNAcentral. Lineage: Eukaryota; Metazoa; Arthropoda; Insecta; Coleoptera; Laemophloeidae.
UAUGUUUUAGUAUUAAGAUGUACAUGAAUUUUUGAUAUUUAAAGAGAUAGUUUAAUUCUAUCGAACAUAA